Molecule: ribosomal RNA, 127 nt
Organism: Erinaceus europaeus (western European hedgehog)
Lineage: Eukaryota; Metazoa; Chordata; Mammalia; Eulipotyphla; Erinaceidae
Source: Ensembl
UUCUACGGCCACACCUCCCUGAACAUGCUCGAUCUCCUCUGAUCUCAGAAGCUAAGCAGGGUGGGGCCUGGUUAGUACUUGGAUGGUAGAAGGAAGAAGUGGGGGGAGGGCAAUAGUGCACUAGGUU